This 720-nucleotide ribosomal RNA is filed under the name Camaenidae gen. N. sp. C FC-2015. RNAcentral describes it as "partial 16S ribosomal RNA". The stretch from base 319 to 484 matches the Rfam family "Archaeal large subunit ribosomal RNA", at positions 1875 to 2091 of the family's 2987-position model. Lineage: Eukaryota; Metazoa; Mollusca; Gastropoda; Stylommatophora; Camaenidae. The record is from RNAcentral.
CACGAAAGUGGUUGAGCUAAUUCUUUUAAGGAGCUGUGUAGCAUAACAGAAUAUGAAAAGAUAAUUAGGGGUGAUAGGCCUUUCAAAUUCACAGAUAUCUUGAUUUCUUUGAAAUGUAUAAGUACAUUUACAAACUUGAAGCGAUAAGACUAUAAGUGUUGAUUAAAUUUAAUAAAUUGACUGUGUAUGUAUAAUAGCACACACAUUAUGACCUUAAUAUAUUUAUUAAAGUAUUAUUAUUUAUAAAAGAAUGUAUAUUAAUAAGUUAUUAUAUUAAUAAUGUUAAUAUUAGUAAUUAAUAGGUAUUUGUAGUGAACUUGGCACUAAGUUUUCAACUGUUUACCAAAAACAUAGCUGUGUGAGUCAUACAUAGUGUUUUCUGCUCAAUGAGAUAUUAAAUAGCCGCAGUACCCUGACUGUGCAAAGGUAGCGUAAUCAUUUGUCUUUUAAUUGGAGUCGUGUAUGAAAGAAUAUAUGGGGACUUUCUUUACCACAAAUAUUAAAUAAACUUACUUAGUGAGUGUAAAUUCUCACUUUUAAAUAAUAGACGAGAAGACCCUAGAAAUUUAAUCAUGAUGUUUUUGUUGGGGCAACAUAGUAGCAUUUAAUCUACAUUAUGUAUAUGAAAUAAAUUUGGAAAAGUAAAUUACUCUAGGGAUAACAGCAUAAUACAAAAGUGUUUGUGACCUCGAUGUUGGAUUAGGGAGUUAAAGUUUAGAA